Molecule: ribosomal RNA, 722 nt
Filed under: Enterococcus sp.
Lineage: Bacteria; Bacillati; Bacillota; Bacilli; Lactobacillales; Enterococcaceae
Description: bacterial SSU rRNA
Rfam family: Bacterial small subunit ribosomal RNA
Source: RNAcentral
CUCAAUUGGAAAGAGGAGUGGCGGACGGGUGAGUAACACGUGGGUAACCUACCCAUCAGAGGGGGAUAACACUUGGAAACAGGUGCUAAUACCGCAUAACAGUUUAUGCCGCAUGGCAUAAGAGUGAAAGGCGCUUUCGGGUGUCGCUGAUGGAUGGACCCGCGGUGCAUUAGCUAGUUGGUGAGGUAACGGCUCACCAAGGCCACGAUGCAUAGCCGACCUGAGAGGGUGAUCGGCCACACUGGGACUGAGACACGGCCCAGACUCCUACGGGAGGCAGCAGUAGGGAAUCUUCGGCAAUGGACGAAAGUCUGACCGAGCAACGCCGCGUGAGUGAAGAAGGUUUUCGGAUCGUAAAACUCUGUUGUUAGAGAAGAAUAAGGACGUUAGUAACUGAACGUCCCCUGACGGUAUCUAACCAGAAAGCCACGGCUAACUACGUGCCAGCAGCCGCGGUAAUACGUAGGUGGCAAGCGUUGUCCGGAUUUAUUGGGCGUAAAGCGAGCGCAGGCGGUUUCUUAAGUCUGAUGUGAAAGCCCCCGGCUCAACCGGGGAGGGUCAUUGGAAACUGGGAGACUUGAGUGCAGAAGAGGAGAGUGGAAUUCCAUGUGUAGCGGUGAAAUGCGUAGAUAUAUGGAGGAACACCAGUGGCGAAGGCGGCUCUCUGGUCUGUAACUGACGCUGAGGCUCGAAAGCGUGGGGAGCAAACAGGAUUAGAUACC